Molecule: unclassified non-coding RNA, 566 nt
Filed under: Festuca pratensis
Lineage: Eukaryota; Viridiplantae; Streptophyta; Magnoliopsida; Poales; Poaceae
Description: partial external transcribed spacer
Source: RNAcentral
GGACCCGUGUCUGCCGGUAGAUCCCCCGUCUUCGUGCGGCCGACUACAGGCGCCGUGUCCCGUCAUUGGUUUGGCUUAUAUGCUGAUGUUGCCUUUCAAGUGCUUGCGUGCUGGUACCCGACCUACGGGAAGUGGUGCUUCUAACACGUUCGCCUCGCGGUGGACACCUUCGGGUGUGCCGCUGCGGCCUAACGGCGCUUGCGGCGUUUCCUCGUGGUUCUGGCACUCCUAGUGCCCGGUGCUACCAAGGCAGCCUCGCUCACGCUGUUGGUCUCGGAUGUUGCUCACGAUAAAGAGUCUUGGCCCUUUUGGUUGCCACGACCCGACCCUUAAGCUGCUCUCCGAAUUUGAGAACAACCGUGAACAGGUGUUGCCUCUACCUCUCCACAGUUAGUGGUAGGAUACGUAACAUUCUGCGCCGAUCCUCAAUCAAGUAGGAUGAGCUUAGCCCGCUCAAUCGUGACAACCGGCUCGGCCGUUGCCUUGGCCUUGACACGCAAGUGGAAGGGCGGACAAAGACCGACGCUGGACGUCAACGAGGACGUGCUACCUGGUUGAUCCUGCCA